GACGAACGCUGGCGGCGCGCUUAACACAUGCAAGUCGAACGGAAAGGCCUGCUUUCCCUUGUGGAUUGCGGGUACUCGAGUGGCGAACGGGUGAGUAACACGUGAGUGAUCUGCCCCCAACUUGGGCAUAAGCCUGGGAAACUGGGUCUAAUUCCCGAUAGGACUGCAGGGUGGUGCCUGUGGUGGAAAACGAUUUUCUAGUGGUUGGGGAUGAGCUCGCGGCCUAUCAGCUUGUUGGUGGGGUAAUGGCCUACCAAGGCGGCGACGGGUAGCCGGCCUGAGAGGGUGGACGGCCACAUUGGGACUGAGAUACGGCCCAGACUCCUACGGGAGGCAGCAGUGGGGAAUAUUACACAAUGGGCGGAAGCCUGAUGCAGCGACGCCGCGUGGGGGAUGACGGCCUUCGGGUUGUAAACUCCUUUCGACCGCGAGGAAGCCACCUGGUUGGAAGGGUGGUGACGGUAGUGGUAGAAGAAGCACCGGCUAACUACGUG
Molecule: ribosomal RNA, 494 nt
Filed under: uncultured bacterium
Lineage: Bacteria
Description: partial 16S ribosomal RNA
Rfam family: Bacterial small subunit ribosomal RNA
Source: RNAcentral